GGCCAAGCUACAAAGGGCGUAUGGGGGAUGUCUUGGCAUCAGAAGGCGAUGAAGGGCGUGGAAGUCUGCGAAAAGCUCGGGGGAGUUGACAACAAUGAUGAUCCCGAGAUCCCUGAAUUGACAUGCGAUGAAUACAUAGUCGUAUGUGGCUAACCCAGGAACUGAAACAUCUAAGUACCUGGUGGAAGAGAAAGAAAAAUCGAUUUCGUCAGUAGCGGCGAGCGAAAGCGAAAGAGCCCAAACCGCGGAGGUUUCCUCUGCGGGGUUGUAGGGCUUCUCACAUGAGAGUUACAAAACUGCCGACUAGCAGAACGACUUGGAAAGGUCGACCACAGAGGGUGACAGUCCCGUAAGUGAAAGGUGAGCAGUCUCUCGAGGAGUACCUGAGUAGGUCGAGCCACGUGGAAUCUCGACUGAAUCUACGGGGACCAUCCCGUAAGGCUAAAUACUCUCUAAU
Molecule: non-coding RNA, 457 nt
Filed under: Beta vulgaris subsp. vulgaris (sugar beet)
Lineage: Eukaryota; Viridiplantae; Streptophyta; Magnoliopsida; Caryophyllales; Amaranthaceae
Description: Bacterial large subunit ribosomal RNA
Rfam family: Bacterial large subunit ribosomal RNA
Source: Rfam by way of RNAcentral